ACGGGGGUUGCAAGCGUUGUCCGGAAUUACUAGGCGUAAAGGGCAGGUAGGCGGAUCCAUAAGUUUUUUGUUAAAGGCAACGGCUUACCCGUUGUAAGGCAGGAGAUACUGUGGAUCUGGAAUGCGGUUGGGGAAGAGAGAAUUCCUGGUGUAGCGGUGAAAUGCGCAGAGAUCAGGAGGAACACCGAAGGCGAAGGCAGCUAACUGGACCGUCACUGACGCUAAGCUGCGAAAGUGAGGGUAUCAAACAG
RNAcentral lists this ribosomal RNA (251 nucleotides) under uncultured prokaryote. RNAcentral's name for it is "partial 16S rRNA". It matches the Rfam family "Bacterial small subunit ribosomal RNA", at positions 525 to 775 of the family's 1533-position model. The record is from RNAcentral.